UCUAAUUCACAUUUUAUUUAUUUAUUUAUUUUGAGACAGGGCCUCGCUCUGUUGCCCAGGCUGGAAUGCAGUGGCACAAUCUCAGCUCAUUGUAGCCUCCACCUCCCGUGCUCAAGUGAUUCUCCCAUCUCAGCCCCCCGAGCAACUGAAGCUACAGAGCUGCCUUAGUGACCAGAUGUCACAAUGUGAUACAGAGCCAGAGAGGAAGUCAUUUUUGUCCAUGAUGCAAGGAACCCAGCAUUUUGACAACCCAGAUGGAAUGUGGAGCUCCCAUGGAAGAAACGUGUCAUCUGGAGGCCUGCAUAACCACUGCAUUCUCCAGAUGGGCACUGGAAGCGCUGAGGCUUCCCACCCAGAAGGUCCACGUGGUGGACAAGGGCAAGUGACAACCAGAGCCACGACUCAAAAGAGGGUGGCUGCUUCAGGCUGAUUUCCUUUGACAGACUGGUUUAUGGACGUGUGCAAGGGCCUCUCUUUGGGAACUGUCAGAAAUGACAGGAGAGAUACAAGAAGGUCAACGUCUGGAAAUCCGAC
Molecule: long non-coding RNA, 534 nt
Filed under: Homo sapiens (human)
Lineage: Eukaryota; Metazoa; Chordata; Mammalia; Primates; Hominidae
Description: non-protein coding lnc-HRH4-1:1
Source: RNAcentral